UCUAGAGGGGAUCCAGAUCUUAAUCCUUGAGGGACCACCAGUGGCGAAGGCGUCUCACCAGAACGGACCUGACGGCAAGGGACGAAAGCUAGGGGCACGAACCGGAUUAGAUACCCGGGUAGUCCUAGCCGUAAACGAUACUCGCUAGGUGUCGGCCACGGUGCGACCGUUGUCGGUGCCGUAGGAAGCUUGGAAUU
This 197-nucleotide ribosomal RNA is filed under the name Methanosarcina sp. enrichment culture clone MSC-6. Its description in RNAcentral is "partial 16S ribosomal RNA". It matches the Rfam family "Archaeal small subunit ribosomal RNA", at positions 618 to 820 of the family's 1478-position model. The record is from RNAcentral. Lineage: Archaea; Methanobacteriati; Methanobacteriota; Methanomicrobia; Methanosarcinales; Methanosarcinaceae.